UUGGCGCUUUUUUUAUUUCUGUGUGGUGAGGUUUAUUGACGUGCGUAUAGGUGCAGUGGCACGCAGUAUGGCUAGUACAAAAAAAGGGGGGGGGGCAGAUAUAUGUAGCUCACUGUACACGACACAGGGCAAAGGAAAUCCGUGUUCAGCAACUAUGUUAAAUGCCAUGUACGUAAAUUUUACAACGCUACUCGUUCGAAGCGCGCACAGGUGCAUAUUGAAGAAAAGUUUCCAGGGUAGAUAAUUUAGUUCGUAAUUUACACUAAUUUUGCUCUUACCACGAGACAUAAUAAUUUGAAUAUACUGCACGGAAAAACCUAGAGCGAAUUAAAUUGUGUGUCAGCUUCGUGUGUAUACAUAUAGUCUUUCCUAUGCAUCAGGUUUUUUGCGUAAUGCAUUAACAGUUGACAGCCUAUCUUAUGAUUCGUACUCUGUUUACAUUACAGUUGUUCAUAAGUUUACUCGUUUGUUUUGCGACUGAUGAAAUGCCGGCAUAUAUAUAUUUUCAGCAUUUGACAUAACCCUGUAUGUUUUGCAGGGACAACCCAGGACGUGCAUUUCUCAGCACCCAGUCAACUGCCAAAAGUGACUCAAACACAGGCCACCAGUGGAACUCGGCUGUACCACUGCAGUGCUGCGGGAAUUGCCUUCACCAGCGGCUUUGCAACAGCUGUUUCGCAGCAUGUCGGAGGCAAUGCCUACGAAAUUAUUGGCCCUGAUCAUGAGAGCCCUCAAGGGGCAAACAACAUCUCUGUUGCAGAAGUGAGCCCGGUACCACUUGGAAGUUACCAUGACAGAUGACACGGCAGCAAUAGAUACAGAGACUGCCAUGUCUACUGCAGCUGCAACAGUGUACGAGGCAAGCAGCAGCGCGUCAGCAUCAGCAGCAGUGUCAGAAGGAACCACACCAGGCCUGGUAGAGCAACAUGUGUGCUAUCACUGACUUUUUUUGUAGUGGAUACAACUCAUUUGCUCAACAUACAAAAGCUUUUCACCACGACUGUGAGCCAGUGUUAUUGUGCAGCAAGUGCAAGACUAAGUUAGGUGUUAUAACACAGUACAAGCAUCACUUUAAUAUAUGCAAAUGCAAACAUAUUACAGUUGUUGCCUCCCCAGCCAGCCCACAUAGUGACAACAAUGUGGAACACAUGGUGGGACACACCUCUCCCCCAUUACAAGAUAGUAGAGACUGUCAGUGUUGUUGCUAGAUUGACUGGUCUUUGUAGGCAACUAGAAGGACAACACAGGUGUCAUAAGAUUGCUGUUGAUGUUGAAGAGGUAAAUAAGAAGUUUGAUGCAGCUGAAGUGCCAACUGAUAUUGAGCAAAUCAAAAGCAACCACCUGAGAAAGCAACACUAUGGAAAUUUGGGUAUCUAUGUGCCGCCAACUCUGGUAAGAAUGGCAUAGGACAGAAGUGUGAUGAAAAUCACACAGACACUGCUGUUGCAUCACUGGCCACAGUGAGCAGCGACUUGUAGGGCAAGAGAGCCAACUGAAACUAACAUUAUGAUAUAGUGUCAUGCUCCCAUGUGACCACUUUUCAAGUUAUUUUGCAAGAUACAGCUCAACCUCCAGAAACGAGACUGCAACUUGUCUGUAAAAAAGCUUUCACAAAAAUUUAUUCAUAACACUAUUAACAUAGCAGUAUAUUUUUUUUUUUGUGUGUGUCGGUUCGAGGUUCCCGGCUGUCCAUUAAUGCAAAAAUUGAGGAAAAAAAGAACAUGUGUCGUACUUACACCUUUUUAACAAGUACGAGGGGGACAGAACUUUUCUAGUCAUGCAUCUUCAUCAUACUAUCAAGUUUUUAAAUGCCUUUUAUAAUUAUUCU
This is a non-coding RNA of Dermacentor andersoni, 1828 nucleotides long. NCBI's taxonomy places the organism in Eukaryota, Metazoa, Arthropoda, Arachnida, Ixodida, Ixodidae. The record is from RefSeq and is a predicted model, not a curated record.